CCCUUAGAUGUUCUGGGCCGCACGCGCGCUACACUGACGGAGUCAACGAGUUGUCCUGCAUCGGAAGGUGUGGGUAAUCUUUUGAAACUUCGUCGUGCUGGGGAUAGAUCUUUGCAAUUUUCGAUCUUGAACGAGGAAUUCCUAGUAAGCGUGAUUCAUCAGAUCGCGUUGAUUACGUCCCUGCCCUUUGUACACACCGCCCGUCGCUACUACCGAUUGAAUGGUUUAGUGGGGCCUCGGGACUGGCGCGCUCGAGUAGCAAUACACCUGCGCGCCGGGAACUUGGUCAAACUUGAUCAUUUAGAGGAAGUAAAAGUCGUAACA
RNAcentral lists this ribosomal RNA (324 nucleotides) under uncultured eukaryote. RNAcentral describes it as "partial 18S ribosomal RNA". It matches the Rfam family "Eukaryotic small subunit ribosomal RNA", at positions 1470 to 1796 of the family's 1831-position model. The record is from RNAcentral.